Anolis carolinensis (green anole) is the source of this 10394-nucleotide RNA transcript. RefSeq lists it as uncharacterized. The transcript is spliced from 3 exons. The record is from RefSeq and is a predicted model, not a curated record. NCBI's taxonomy places the organism in Eukaryota, Metazoa, Chordata, Lepidosauria, Squamata, Anolidae.
CCAUUUCAAGGGCGGGAGGGAGAGGGGGAAAGGAGGAGGAAGAAGAAAAGGAAGAAAGGGAAGGCGAAGAGGAGGAGAGGAAGAGGAGAAGAAGAGAAGGAGGAGAAAAAGAGGAGGAGGAGAGGAGAGUAGAAAGAAAGGAAGAGGAGGAGGAGGAGAAGAGGAGGAGGAGGAAGAUGAAACAAUGGUAGAAGAAGAAGAGAAAAGGAGGAAGGAGGAGGAAGAAAACAAGGAUGGAGAGAAGGAAGAAGGAGAAGGUGAAGAGGAGGAGAAAAAGAAGUCAAGGAGGAAGAGGAGAAGAAGAGAAGGAGGAGAAAAAGAGGAGGAGGAGAGUAGAAAGAAAGGAAGAAGAGGAGGAGGAGGAGGAGGAGAAGAAGAGGAGGAAGAUGAAGCAAUGGUAGAAGAAGAAAAGAAAAGGAGGAAGGAGGAGGAAGAAAACAAGGAUGGAGAGAAGGAAGAAGGAGAAGGUGAAGAGGAGGAGAGAAAGAAGGCAAGGAGGAAGAGGAAAAGAAGAGAAGGAGGAGAAAAAGAGGAGGAGGAGAGGAGAGUAGAAAGAAAGGAAGAGGAGGAGGAGGAGAAGAGGAGGAGGAGGAAGAUGAAACAAUGGUAGAAGAAGAAGAGAAAAGGAGGAAGGAGGAGGAAGAAAACAAGGAUGGAGAGAAGGAAGAAGGAGAAGGUGAAGAGGAGGAGAAAAAGAAGUCAAGGAGGAAGAGGAGAAGAAGAGAAGGAGGAGAAAAAGAGGAGGAGGAGAGUAGAAAGAAAGGAAGAAGAGGAGGAGGAGGAGGAGAAGAAGAGGAGGAAGAUGAAGCAAUGGUAGAAGAAGAAAAGAAAAGGAGGAAGGAGGAGGAAGAAAACAAGGAUGGAGAGAAGGAAGAAGGAGAAGGUGAAGAGGAGGAGAAAAAGAAGGCAAGGAGGAAGAGGAGAAGAAGAGGAGGAGGAGGAGAAAAAAGAGGAGGAGGAGAGUAGAAAGAAAGGAAGAAGAGGAGGAGGAGGAGGAGAAGAAGAGGAGGAAGAUGAAGCAAUGGUAGAAGAAGAAAAGAAAAGGAGGAAGGAGGAGGAAGAAAACAAGGAUGGAGAGAAGGAAGAAGGAAGAAGGAGAAGGUGAAGAGGAGGAGAAAAAGAAGGCAAGGAGGAAGAGGAGAAGAAGAGAAGGAGGAGAAAAAGAGGAGGAGGAGAGGAGAGUAGAAAGAAAGGAAGAGGAGGAGGAGGAGGAGGAGAGGAGGAGGAGGAAGAUGAAACAAUGGUAGAAGAAGAAGAGAAAAGGAGGAAGGAGGAGGAAGAAAACAAGGAUGGAGAGAAGGAAGAAGAAGAAGGUGAAGAGGAGGAGAAAAAGAAGGCAAGGAGGAGGAGAAGAGGAGGAGGAAGAUGAAGAAAGGGUAGAAGAAGAGCAGAAAAGAGGAAGGAGAAGAAAGAAAACAAGGAGGAAGAGGAGGAGACGUAGAGGAGGAAGAGAAGAAGAAAAGGAAAAAGAGGAAGAGGAAGAUGAAGAAGGGGAGGAGGAGAAAAGGAGAAAGGAGGAGAAAGAAAACCAGGAGGGAGAGAAGAAAAGGAGGAGGAGAAAAGAAGAAGUAAGGAGGAGUGGAAAGAAAGGAGGAGGAAGAGAAGAAGAAGAAAAGGAAGAGGAGGAGGAGGAGGAGGAGGAGGAAGAAGAAGAAGAAGAAGAGGAGAAGGAGAAAAAGAGGGAGGAGGAAAAUAGAAAGAAAGGAGGAGGAAGAGAAGAAGAAAAGGAAGAAAAGGAAGAGGAGAAAAAAGGAAGGAGGAGAAAAAAGGAAGGAGGAGAAAGAAAACAAGGAGGAAGAAAAGAAAAGGAAGAAGGGGAAGGGGAGGAGAGAAAGAAAAGGAGGAGGAGGAAGAAGGGGGGAAAGGGGAAGAGGAGGAAGAGGAUGAAUAAAAAUAAAUGGACCUGGAGAGAACCACCAUCUAGGAAGAAGAGUCAGCCAGAGCAGGCGGGCAACAGGCUGGUAAGGUCGGAGAGGGGGGAGGAAAAAGAGGGGGGUCUUCCCCCUUUCUCCUCCUUCGAUCCCCUUCCCCAGACAUACACACCUUACCCAUAGAAGCCUCUCCUUCCUCUCUUUCUCCCUUGCUUUCCCUUCCUCCCCCAGGAGAAGAAAUGGCUUUGAUCUCAUCUCUCAUAUCCCCCCCCCCCAGACACACACAUACUUGAAGUGGACACACACACACACACACACACACACACACACACACACAUAUGUAUUUCUUUCUCUCCCCUCCCUCACUUUCACUGUCAACGACAUUCUAGUCUAAGCAAACACUGCCACCAAAGAGAGACUUCAAAGCGAGGGAGGGAGGAAAGAAAGAGGGAGAGGAAAAGCCAAGGGAGGAGGAGGAGGAGGAGGAGGAGGAGGGACCCUCCUUUCUUCCUCCCUCCUUUCUUUGCUCACCUUUUGCAGGUCGACACCAGGGACUCCUUCCUUCCUUCCUUCUUUCCUUCCUUCCUUUUCUCCCACAUUCCCAUCCCUUCCUUCCCUCCCCUUUCCACUCCUUUUCUUUCUUCCCUCCCUUUUCUUCCCUCCCUCUGCUCGUUUUCUCCUCUUCCUUCCUUUUUUCCCUUCCUUCCUUUCCCCUGCUAGAUUUCUUCUCUUUCUUUCCUUCUUUCCUCAUUUCCUUUCUUCUUGCUAGAUUUCUACUCUUCCUUCCUUCCUUCCUUCCUUCCUUCCUUCCUUCCUUCCUUCCUUCCUUCCUUCCUUCCUUCCUUCCUUCCUUCCUUCCUUCCUUCCUUUCCCUUGCUAGAUUUCUACUCUUUCUUUCCUCCCUCCCUUCUUUCUUUCCUUCUUUCCUUCCUUCCUCCUUGCUAGAUUUCUACUCUUUCUUUCUUCCCUUCCUUCCUUCCUUUCCCCUGCUAGAUUUCUACUCUUUCCUUCUUCCUUUCCUUCUUUCCUUCCUUCCUCCUUGCUAGAUUUCUACUCUUUCCUUCCUCCCUCCCUUCUUUCUUUCCUUCUUGCUAGAUUUCUACUCUUCCUUCCUUCCUUCCUUCCUUCCUUCCUUCCUUCCUUCCUUCCUUCCUUCCUUCCUUCCUUCCUUCCUUUCCCCUGCUAGAUUUAUACUCUUUCCUUCCUUCCUUCUUUCCUUCCUUCCUUCCUUCCUUCUUUCCUUCCGCCUUGCUAGAUUUCUACUCUUUCCUUCUUCCCUUCCUUCCUUCCUUCCUUCUUUCUUUCUUUCUUUCCUUCCUCCUUGCUAGAUUUCUAUUCUUUCUUACUUCCCUCUUUCUUCCCUUCCUUCUUUCCUUCUUUCCUACCCUGCUAGAUUUAUUCCUUCCCUCUUUCUUUCUUUCCUUCUUCCUUCCUUCCUUCCUUCCCUUGCUAGAUUUAUUCCUUCCCUCUUUCUUUCCUUCUUCAUUCCUUCCUUCCCCUGCUAAAUAUAUUCCUUCCCUCUUUCUUCCCUUCUUUCCUUCCUUCCUUCCCCUGCUAAAUGUAUUCCUUCCCUCUUUCUUCCUUCCUUCCUUCCUCUGCUAGAUUUAUUCCUUCCCUCUUUCUUUCUUUCUUUCCUUCCUCUGCUAGAUUUAUUCCUUCCCUCUUCCUUCCUUCCUUCCUCUGCUAGAUUUAUUCCUUCCCUCUUCCUUCCUUCCUCUGCUAGAUUUAUUCCUUCCCUCUUUCUUUCUUUCCUUCUUCCUUCCUUCCCUUGCUAGAUUUAUUCCUUCCCUCUUUCUUUCCUUCUUCAUUCCUUCCUUCCCCUGCUAAAUAUAUUCCUUCCCUCUUUCUUCCCUUCUUUCCUUCCUUCCUUCCCCUGCUAAAUAUAUUCCUUCCCUCUUUCUUCCCUUCUUUCCUUCCUUCCUUCCCCUGCUAAAUGUAUUCCUUCCCUCUUUCUUCCUUCCUUCCUUCCUCUGCUAGAUUUAUUCCUUCCCUCUUUAUUUCUUUCUUUCUUUCUUUCCUUCCUCUGCUAGAUUUAUUCCUUCCCUCUUCCUUCCUUCCUUCCUUCCUUCCUCUGCUAGAUUUAUUCCUUCCCUCUUUCUUUCUUUCUUUCUUUCUUUCUUUCCUUCCUCUGCUAGAUUUAUUCCUUCCCUCUUCCUUCCUUCCUUCCUUCCUUCCUUCCUCUGCUAGAUUUAUUCCUUCCCUCUUUCUUUCUUUCUUUCUUUCUUUCUUUCUUUCUUUCUUUCUUUCUUUCCUUCCUCUGCUAGAUUUAUUCCUUCCCUCUUCCUUCCUUCCUUCCUUCCUUCCUCUGCUAGAUUUAUUCCUUCCCUCUUCCUUCCUUCCUUCCUUCCUUCCUUCCUUCCUUCCUUCCUUCCUUCCUUCCUCUGCUAGAUUUAUUCCUUCCCUCUUUCUUUCUUUCCUUCCUUCCUUCUUAGGUGAGAUUUCUACUCUUUCCUUCUUCCCUUUCUUCUCCCCUCCCUCUUCUAGUUUUCUAUUCUUCCUUCCUUCCUCCCUUCUUUCCUCCCUCCCUUCCUUCCUUCUCUGCUGUUUCCUUCUUCCCUUCGCUAGUUUUCUACCUUCUCCAUCCUUCCUUAACUCCACUAGUUUCCCAUCCAUCCACCCCCUUUCUUCCUUUAUCAUCCAUCCAUCUUUCCUUUGGGUUGCUGCGAGUUUUCCGGGCUGUCUGGCCAUGUUCUAGAAGCAUUCUCUCCUGACGUUUCACCCACAUCUGUGGCAGGCAUCCUCAGAGGUUGUGAGGUCUAUUGGAAACUAGGCAAGUGGGCUUUAUAUUCCUAUGGAAUGAUGUCCAGGAUGGGAGAAAGAACUCUUGUCUGUUGGAAGCAAGUGUGAAUGUUGCAAUUGACCACCUUGAUUAGUAUUGAAUAGACUUGUAACUUCAAAGCCUGGCUGCUUCCUGCCUGGGGAAUCCUUUGUUAGGAGGUGUUAGCUGGCCCUGGUUGUUUCAUGUCUGGAAUUCCUCUGUUUUGAGUGUUUCUGUUGAAAUUGUCCCCAUGCUUGUGGAUUUCAGAAAGGCACCGAAGACUAAUCCAAGCCAGAGAAGUCAGCCAUAGCAGAGCACUUGAUGGACCAACCUGAACAUAGGAUAUUAUUGGAGAACACAGAAAAGCUGGACCACUCUCAGAACUAUCAUGCCAGACUAGAAAUCCAUAAGCCAUUGAAAUCCAUAAGCACAAUUUCAACAGAAAGGAAGGAAACCAUGAAAAUGAACAAGAUCUGACUACUAGUAUUUAAAAACUAAAAAUCUGGAGCAACACUGAAAAAACAGAGGAAUUCCAGACAUGAAACAAUCUGGGCCAGGAACCCAACAAGACAUGAAGCAAUCAGGGCCAGGAACCCAACAAAGGAUCCGCCUCCCCGGGGCAGGGAGCAGCCAGGCUUUGAAGCUGCGAGGCCAUUCAAUGCUAAUCAAGCUCAAACAGGCAAGAAUCCUUUCUCCCACCCACAGAUAUGUAUAUGUGUGUGUGUGUGUGUGUAUAUGUAUAUAUAUAUAUAUAUAUAUACACACACACACACACACACACAUACAUAUAUGUGUGUGUGUGUAUAUAUAUUGUUGCCAAUUGUACGCCGCCCUGAGUCCCUCCGGGUGAGAAGGGCGGGAUAGAAAUAUUUGAAAUAUAUAUAUAUAUAUAUAUAUAUAUACACACACACACACACACACAUACACACACACACACACACACACAUACAUACAUACACACACACACACACACACACACACACACACACACACACAUAUAAACCCCACUUGCCUAGUUUCCAACAGAGCUCACAACCUCUGAGGAUACCUGCCAUAGUUGUGGGCGAAACGUCAGGAGAGAAUGCUUCUGGAAUAAGGCCAGACGGAGCGGAAAAUUCCCAGCAACGUAAUGAUUCCGAUCAUGGACGCCUUGGAGAACACAACCUUGCUUUCUUCCUUACCUUCCUUCUUCCCUUUCUCUUUCUUUCUUUCUUUCUUUCUUUCUUUCUUUCUUUCUUUCUUUCUUUCUUUCUUUCUUUCUUUCUCUCUCUCUCUCUCUCAGGCUCAGCUUCGAGAGAGCUACAAGUCCCUCUCCUCCUUCCAUCCUUCUCUCCCCCUUCUUCUUCAAGACAGAGGUCCAGAUGUAAAAGCUCUCUUUCUGGGGAGAAGGGAGGCUCGGGAAGGCCGGCAGGAGAGAGGCUGCAAUCAGCGACCGCCUGCCCGCCUGCCUGGCUUCCGAGGCGGGUUUCCCGACCCGCCAGCCCUCCACACCGCCACGCGUGGACCCCGCUCCCACCCGAGAAGGAAGAAGAAGGAGAACGAGGCUCGAGGCUCCCUCCCGGCGCCUCCCUUCCCCGCGUCCGGCUCCUGCCUUCCCCGCCGCGCGCCGGGAAUGAGCCUCGCCUCGCCUCGCCGCCCAGCCCUCUCCCGCUCUUCCUUCCACACACACACAGCCACACUCACACGCGCGCAUCUGUCACGGGUGGCCCAGCAGCAGCCGCCCCAACGGAGAGCCGCUUCCAGGCGUUCACACUGACUGCUAAUGAGAGCAAGGAUGCAGCAGCCGGCAGGGUCAGGGCUGGGGUCGAACAAUUUGGAUGGUUCCAGAUUGCGGAAGAAGCGAGACAAGAGAAGAAAAGCUCGGGCUGCAAAUUUCAUGAUCUUAGCGAUGGUCAAGGAGGCCUAGGAGGUGGAGCCCAAAGCUUUGCAGACAAGGUUGCGAAGGGUGUGGACCUCAUGAGGCCUUUGAGUCAUCUGGGUGUCUCCUUUGGACACAAGAACUGGGGAUUACUCAGGGAAAGAAAGUCGGACAAGCUGCCACUUGGAAUCAGCUCAGCUAGCUUCUGGUUUGUGUGCCAAAUAAACGAAGAGGAUCAAGACAAUGAAGGCUAUAAGAAGAUAAAACAAUAGAUAGUGUAGGAAGCCAUACGAGAAUUCCACUCUCCGGCAGCAAUCGGAAAUGGUACAACCCAUCAGCAGAGGAAAGAUGUUAUCCCUUCCUGCUGCAUCAUCAAAUGUAUGCAAGUUUUGAAAUGCCACACAUAGAGAUGGUAUGAGUAAUCAUUCUGGAUUAACAACAAUGGGAGAAAACAUUCCUCCGAUGCAUCAUACCUUCCUCAAUGGGAGACUGAAAGAGGCUACACGGCACAGCUUCCAAGUGGCAGAGAGAACUUGGUGGUUUAUAAAAAAAAAAAGUGUCUGAAAAUAUUCCCAUUUGUCUCUCUCGGGAAGAGGUGAUAUCUUGGAAUCCCACAGAACAUUUUGACAUGUAAGUGUGAAAUCACAUCCUCUCGUUCCGUGCAUAACAUGACCCAAAAAUACAGAAACAGGGUAAGCGUUUCACAUUUCUUUCCUCUGAACUUAUGCUAAAAAUGCAUCCUUUUUAAAUGCAGCUUAUUCAACUCUUUGGAGGAUACUUAUUUCCAGCAGUUAACACCUGACCCCAAUUUUAGUGGGUAAUUAGUGAACUAGAUAACCACACAAAGUAGGUAAUUAUUUAGUCCCCAAGGGUACAGUACAAAUGGGUAGUGAGUGCGAAAAACAGCACAACCCUAAUUAUUGUACAUUCGCGUUGGCCAUUUUGACAAAUACGGCUAACUCUCCCUAAAUGGUUUUGUGAUCAAGCAAGAAACUUGUUGGAUAUCAGUUGCACAUGUAUCUAUGAUCUAGGCAGGAUGGCAAAAGCGAACUUAAUGCACUUACCUUUUAUAGUCAUUAUGGCCUGGGAAAUGCCCCUUGCAGGUGUCCAUGUUUCCAAGUUGCAUAUCUCUGGUCCAUCACAGAAAAGACAAGGCAUGUGCAAAACAUAACAGAACACAACUGAACAUCAGAGGCUUGAAUAGCAAGGACCUGUGUAUCCAAGGCAUGUUCAUAUCGGAGACAAGGACUUCCAAGUUGACCCCUUGGCCCCAUGUACAAAAAUAGACACAUGUAGAAAUUGCUGUUCUUCUAUAGCAAUGAUGGGCAACCUUUUGCAUUUGGUCUGUCAUAAUUCACCAAAAAAAACCUAGCAUGACUUGGGUGGUGAGUCACUUCGAGAAAAGGAGCAUAAUUUCGCAAUAUAUAUCGUUUAAAUAACAAAAACAUAUAACUGUACUAGCUGUGCCUGGCCACGCGUUGCUGUGGCAAAGUGGUGGUAGUAUUGGUUAAAAAUUGUUGUAUAAUUUUUAUUUGAUGUUAUUUGUAUUUUUUAAUUAAUUUUAUUGUAAGUUAUCUUUUUAUUUAUUAUAUUUUAUUAUUUUCUUGUAUCAUUUUUAGUUAUUUUUUGUUAUUAUGGAUUUUAUUGUAUUGAUUUUUUUAGUGUUUUUAAUUAUUUUUAGUGUUUUUUAUUAUUUUUUAUUGGGUUGCUAGGAGACCAAGUUGGAGGAGCUUAGCCUUCUAACUGGCAGCAAUUGGAUAAAAGCAAUUAUUUCUCUCUCUCUAAUUAGGACUUUAUUUUUCUUUUCUUUUUGUUGUAUCAACCUAGAGGCGUGGAUGAUAGGUUGUGUCAUCAAAUUUCGAGUUUGGGGGGCCUGUAGUUUUGUUGUUUUGUGGGUCGCCGUGAUGCCAUCACUCUUAUAUAUAUAUAGAUUUAAUAAAUCAAAAACUAUUUACUACAAUUAUUUCCAUGCACAACAAUCUAUGGUACCUCUUGUAGUUUCCACGCUGAUUUCUCUCUAUUGUAGUUUCAAUGUAGUCAUGAAUAAUGAAUAAUAUAAUAAUAAUAUAAUAGUAGUAAUAUAAUAAUAUAAUACAAUAAUAAUUCUUGAAGAAAGCAAUGAGUAAUUUUAGCAGUAUUCUUUCUACUGCAAUAAUGUCUGAAAUUUGGGACUUCCUCUGCAUGCAAAAUUCGCAAGUGUUUUUUUUUUCAACAGCAGAAAAUAACGUUUCCUAUUAAAAUCUCCAGCGAAAUACAAUUUUCUGUGCAGAAAAUACUGUCUCCUGUUUGAAACCACUAUAUGUGAAUUUUUCACAGAAGAUGUUCCAAACUGCAAAUGCUCUCAUUAAUUCAGGGUCCUUCUCAAUAUAGGUUUUCCCAUCAUUUAAAAUAUUUGUUUUCAAAUAUUCUUUACACCUCUAUUCUAAUUUUGAAGGAAAAAUGCAACUGGUUACUAAUAAGGAAUGAAUUCAUUGGACAUAUACAGUAGAAUCUCACUUAUCCAACACUCGCUUAUCCAACGUUCUGGAUUAUCCAAUGUAUUUUUGUAAUCAAUGUUUUCAAUUCAUUAUGAUAUUUUGGUGCUAAAUUAGUAAAUACAGUAAUUACAACAUAACAUUACUGCGUAAUGAACUACUUUUUCUGUCAAAUUUGUUGUAUAACAUGAUGUUUUGGUGCUUAAUUUGUAAAAUCAUAACCUAAUUUGAUGUUUAAUAGGCUUUUCCUUAAUCCCUCCUUAUUAUCCAAGUUAUUCGCUUAUCCAAGCUUCUGCCGGCACAUUUAGCUUGGAUAAGUGAGACUCUACUGUAAUACAAUUAUAGCAAUAAAUAACACUUACAUGACCAGAUCAAAGGGUCAUUUAAUGUUAGCAUUAAAUAGUUUUCCAAGCCUCGCAUCCUGGCCUGGGAGAAUCCUUUGUUCAGUGUCGUUAGCUGCCCCUGAUUGACUCCUGUCUGUAAUUACUCAGUUUCACUGUUCACUAAUGGGUUUGCUGCACUUUGGACCAGCCCUCCUUAUUAUCCAACAUAUUCGAUUAUCCAACAUUCUGCCGGCCCAUUUAUGUUGGAUAAGUGAGACUCUACUGUAUUAGGUGGCAGCAAAUAUAUGUCUGUGGCCUCAUCAGCAUUUGGCAUGAUUAGACUAGAGUAUUUUAUCUUUAUGGUGCAUGUGUCCAAACAUGAAAAAAAAAUCGUAGCUGUAGCUCUAAAGACAUACAACUCAAUUGUACGGUCAACCACAACAGGGAAAUGUUCUCGCUUGUCCAUUUGAACCCCAUCUGCAUUAGUAAAUUGACAAAAUGGGGUGGGGGGAGAUAUAUAAGUGAACAAUGUUUGAGCUAUCACUUCUUGCCAUGCCACUUAUGAGGAUACGAUUAUUCUUAUUGAUCCUUAAGGACAAGUCUUUGUUGACAGCUUGAGAAAAUCAACACAGUCAGUGUGAGAUGUCUGGUCAAGAUAUGGCUCAUAACAACUUGCUGAGGAAGUUCAUGUUAAUUGUCCUGUAGGUGAGCCAUAUGUUCUCCAGAUGUUUUGUAUAGCUACUGAUUUGAUGGUUGACUUUGGUCUUGCUGACUGGAAGAUGAUGGGAACUGUGUAUUGCAGUUCCCAUUACCUUGAAACAUUGCAGCUCAAACAUCUGGAGACUGGUGUCAUUCCACUGACCUUUGGACCAGAAAAUGUCCACCUUGGACUCCUACUCAGGAUGCUCAAACUUUCCUAUUUCAUUUAGGUUCCAGGAAUACACCGGAAGUACAUAAAGAUUGUGUCUCUUUAGCACAGUAGUAAUAUUACCAAUAAUUUGAAAGGGAAGAAAGUGUCAGCUGAAUGAUAUGAAUCCUACCCAGGCAUCAUGUUUACAAACUCAUUGUGGCCAAUGGGGCCGUGGUGUCAACGUGAUGGCCUGAAGCAUG